This 280-nucleotide long non-coding RNA is filed under the name Brassica napus (rape). RNAcentral's name for it is "long non-coding RNA (BNAP_LNC023613)". Lineage: Eukaryota; Viridiplantae; Streptophyta; Magnoliopsida; Brassicales; Brassicaceae. The record is from RNAcentral.
GGUUUAAGAUUUAGGGUUUAGAGUUUAGGGUUUAGAGUUUAGGAUUUAGAGUUAAGGGGUGUGAUUUAAGAUUUAGGGUUUAGAGUUUAGAGUUUAGGGUUUAGAGUUUGAGAGAGUUUAGAGUUUAGAGUUGAAGAGUCGGAUUUUGAGAUAAGAUUUCAAAUUUUGAAAAAUUAAAAAAAUUAAAAUUUUCAAAAGAUAAAAUACUAUUUUGGUCAUUUUAGUUUUUACUAUUUUUGUGAUAUAAACCUAGAAAGAUGCUAUUUUGGAGAUUUGUCCG